Molecule: ribosomal RNA, 238 nt
Filed under: uncultured Pseudomonas sp.
Lineage: Bacteria; Pseudomonadati; Pseudomonadota; Gammaproteobacteria; Pseudomonadales; Pseudomonadaceae
Description: partial 16S ribosomal RNA
Rfam family: Bacterial small subunit ribosomal RNA
Source: RNAcentral
GCCUAGGAAUCUGCCUGGUAGUGGGGGACGAACGUUUCGAAAGGAACGCUAAUACCGCAUACGUCCUACGGGAGAAAGCAGGGACCUUCGGGCCUUGCGCUAUCAGAUGAGCCUAGGUCGGAUUAGCUAGUUGGUGAGGUAAUGGCUCACCAAGGCGACGAUCCGUAACUGGUCUGAGAGGAUGAUCAGUCACACUGGAACUGAGACACGGUCCAGACUCCUACGGGAGGCAGCAGCU